RNAcentral lists this ribosomal RNA (446 nucleotides) under uncultured bacterium. RNAcentral describes it as "partial 16S ribosomal RNA". It matches the Rfam family "Bacterial small subunit ribosomal RNA", at positions 338 to 795 of the family's 1533-position model. The record is from RNAcentral.
CCUACGGGAGGCAGCAGUCGAGAAUCAUUCACAAUGGGGGAAACCCUGAUGGUGCGACGCCGCGUGGGGGAAUGAAGGUCUUCGGAUUGUAAACCCCUGUCAUGUGGGAGCAAAUUAAAAAGAUAGUACCACAAGAGGAAGAGACGGCUAACUCUGUGCCAGCAGCCGCGGUAAUACAGAGGUCUCAAGCGUUGUUCGGAAUCACUGGGCGUAAAGCGUGCGUAGGCUGUUUCGUAAGUCGUGUGUGAAAGGCGCGGGCUCAACCCGCGGACGGCACAUGAUACUGCGAGACUAGAGUAAUGGAGGGGGAACCGGAAUUCUCGGUGUAGCAGUGAAAUGCGUAGAUAUCGAGAGGAACACUCGUGGCGAAGGCGGGUUCCUAGACAUUAACUGACGCUGAGGCACGAAGGCCAGGGGAGCGAAAGGGAUUAGAUACCCGAGUAGUC